UACGUAGGCAGCGAGCGUUGUUCGGAGUUACUGGGCGUAAAGAGUGCGUAGGCGGUGCGGUAAGUCUGGUGUGAAAUCUCCCGGCUCAACUGGGAGGGUGCGCUAGAAACUGCCGUGCUUGAGUGUGGGAGAGGUAAGCGGAAUUCCUGGUGUAGCGGUGAAAUGCGUAGAUAUCAGGAGGAACACCGGUGGCGAAGGCGGGUCUCUGGGCCGAUACUGACGCUGAGGAGCGAAAGCGUGGGGAGCGAACAGG
RNAcentral lists this ribosomal RNA (253 nucleotides) under uncultured bacterium. RNAcentral describes it as "partial 16S ribosomal RNA". It matches the Rfam family "Bacterial small subunit ribosomal RNA", at positions 524 to 776 of the family's 1533-position model. The record is from RNAcentral.